RNAcentral lists this ribosomal RNA (433 nucleotides) under Deltaproteobacteria bacterium. RNAcentral describes it as "partial 23S ribosomal RNA". It matches the Rfam family "Bacterial large subunit ribosomal RNA", at positions 2500 to 2925 of the family's 2925-position model. Lineage: Bacteria; Pseudomonadati; Myxococcota; Myxococcia. The record is from RNAcentral.
UCACAUCGACGGGGAGGUUUGGCACCUCGAUGUCGGCUCAUCGCAUCCUGGGGCUGAAGCAGGUCCCAAGGGUUUGGCUGUUCGCCAAUUAAAGCGGUACGUGAGCUGGGUUUAAAACGUCGUGAGACAGUUUGGUCCCUAUCUGUCGUGGGCGUAGGAUAUUUGAGAGGAGCUGUCCCUAGUACGAGAGGACCGGGAUGGACGAACCUCUGGUGUGCCAGUUGUUCCGCCAGGAGCACAGCUGGGUAGCUAUGUUCGGAAGGGAUAACCACUGAAAGCAUCUAAGUGGGAAGCCCCCCUCAAGAUAAGAUAUCCCGGACCGCAAGGUCCCUGAAGGCCCCUCGGAGACUACGAGGUUGAUAGGUCGGAGGUGUAAGGGCAGCAAUGUCUUGAGCUUACCGAUACUAAUCGGCCGUGCGGCUUGGUCAUAAAA